This 274-nucleotide ribosomal RNA is filed under the name uncultured bacterium. RNAcentral describes it as "partial 16S ribosomal RNA". It matches the Rfam family "Bacterial small subunit ribosomal RNA", at positions 523 to 796 of the family's 1533-position model. The record is from RNAcentral.
AUACGGAGGGUGCAAGCGUUACUCGGAAUCACUGGGCGUAAAGCGCGCGCAGGCGGUCUUUUAAGUUGGAUGUGAAAGCCUACGGCUCAACCGUAGAACUGCAUCCAAAACUAUUAGACUAGAGUGUGGGAGAGGAAGAUGGAAUUAGUUGUGUAGGGGUAAAAUCCGUAGAGAUAACUAGGAAUACCAAAAGCGAAGGCAAUCUUCUGGAACACUACUGACGCUCAGGCGCGAAAGCGUGGGGAGCAAACAGGAUUAGAAACCCCGGUAGUCC